ACGUCCUUUGACCUGUAAAGGACGUGGCACACGGCUCAGUAACACGUAGUCAACCUGCCCUGGAGCCUUGGAUAACCCCGGGAAACUGGGACUAAUACAAGAUAGGUCAAGAUUUCUGGAAGGGGCCUUGACUGAAAUAGCAUCUAAGCAUGUUUAGAUGUCUUCUCUAGGAUGGGACUGCGGCCCAUCAGGUUGUUGGUGGGGUAAAGGCCCACCAAGCCGAUUACCGGUACGGGCUUUGGGAGAAGGAGCCCGGAGAUGGACCCUGAAAAAAGGGUCUAGGCCCUACGGGGCGCAGCAGGCGCGAAAUCUUCGCAAUGCGCGAAAGCGCGACGAGGUUAUUCCGAGUGCAAUCUGCUGAAGAUAGCUUUUGUCAGGUGUAAAUAGCCUGGAGAAUAAGGGGAGGGAAAGCCUGGUGUCAGCCGCCGCGGUAACACCA
This 439-nucleotide ribosomal RNA is filed under the name uncultured crenarchaeote. RNAcentral describes it as "bacterial SSU rRNA". It matches the Rfam family "Archaeal small subunit ribosomal RNA", at positions 55 to 478 of the family's 1478-position model. Lineage: Archaea; Thermoproteati; Thermoproteota. The record is from RNAcentral.